This 212-nucleotide long non-coding RNA is filed under the name Lathyrus oleraceus (garden pea). Its description in RNAcentral is "Pisum sativum (pea) long non-coding RNA (PSAT_LNC015531)". Lineage: Eukaryota; Viridiplantae; Streptophyta; Magnoliopsida; Fabales; Fabaceae. The record is from RNAcentral.
UUUUAUUCAGGAGACAAAAGUUCACUAGAUGAACGACCAAAUAGCAAAGAUCCUAUGGGGAUUCCAAGAGGUCGAGUGGUCGACAAAAGAUGUGAAAGGUCAAUUAAGAUGAUUGAUUAUAAUGUGGAAUUCGGGCAUGAUAACUUCAUUGACCAACUUUAGAGGAGGAGUAUUAUUAGGAGUUGGUGCAAAUUGUAAAGCUAAGCUUUGUU